Molecule: non-coding RNA, 1402 nt
Organism: Rhopilema esculentum
Lineage: Eukaryota; Metazoa; Cnidaria; Scyphozoa; Rhizostomeae; Rhizostomatidae
Source: RefSeq, a predicted model, not a curated record
CAAGUUUCCACCAUCCGGUGUUUCUUUGAAGCUGCAGUGCCGAUCCUCUUUGGGGCAUCUUCUCCACUUCUUUCUUUGACUCAAAGUACUGUAGAAUGGCGAACAGGAAAGGGGAAAACUUAACCAGAAGAAAUGAGAAAGAAAUUACAAUUGAAGGAGGGAGAAAAAGUGAUUUUCAAAUUAGUAGCUCCAGAAAAGAAUAUAUUACAUUGGCUGAUUUGAUGAUAAUUAGAGAUUGUAUAGAGGAAAACAAUGAAGUCUUCAGUGAAAGAGAUUCGCAACAAAAUACACCAUUACAUGUCCUAUUGGAGUAUUCAGAUAUCCUGUAAUAAUUGGAGUAUUCAGACGAAAGUAAAGAAAAUCCUUGGAUAUUAAAACAUUUUUUGGAUUAUAUGAUAUAAAAAGGAUCAUACAUUAAUGCUGUAAUACAUUGGGAAUCAACAAUAAUAAUUGCUAUAAAAUUAUGUAAAACAAAGUUGGUGAAAAGACUUUUUGUGGAGCUGAUUUGAAAAUCGCUAACAAUGAAGGAGAAAAUUUAUUUUAAGUUUAAUAUGAUACAUUUUAAGUAUCCAGAAGAAUAUAAAGAAAGGGACGAACUGUAAUUACUUAGAUAACAGUUGUGUUUAAUAUAUGAGCGUAUAUAAGUAGUAAAUGGUAGUAGUUUCAAUACUUUUUUAUAUUGAAUCAGUUUUAAGAAGUUGAAACUUUUGUUUGUUUGCUGCUUUAUUGAUAAUAAUGGGCAAUAGAAUAUCUAGUUUGCGAAAAUCUGACAUAUUAAAAAUGACGCAAAAGCCGAAAAUGAAGUUUGAUUAAAAGAGAAGAAUUAGAAUGAAAAUCAGUAGCUUUGCCAGAAAUAAUAAAAUUAUCAUCUCCUGGUGCAACUAAAUAUAUCGAUGUAUCGAUAAUAUAUUGAUUAAUAAAGCAUGAUGUUCAAGUUGAAAGCAAGUAGAUCAAAAACGUAAAGAUGAAAUUAGUCGUUGGUUUAGAAACAAUUUUAAUGACCGCUGCUAGAGUUCGUAAAGUGAGCGUUAUGCAGUUUUAAAUAGAUGACCCUUGUGAUUUAAAUGUACAAAAUUAUGAGGGAAAUACUGUAUUACAUAUUUCAGUAUUAAAAAUAAAUGUUAGAGCAGUGGCACUAUUGCAUAAAUAUGACAAACAAAUAUCGGAUAAAAGUAUGACUCGGCCUUGGAUGAUGGCUUCAAAACAUGACCCGAUAGCUCAGUGGCAGAACACUUGAUGCACAAAGUCAGGGGUCGUGAGUUUGAGGCUCGCUCGGGUCGGUUAUUUUCUCACACUCUCUAUUAGUUGUCUUUGAAAAUCCUUUUGUCUUGACAUAUUUUAGAAAUAGACGCGUAAUAGCUGCUUCCAGACAUGUUAAGACCCUGUUUACAUGAGACCGGUU